GGUAAAGUGGCCGAGUGUUAGGCGGUAAGCUGUAAACUUACUUACAUUGGUUAAACUCCUUUCUUUACUAA
Molecule: transfer RNA, 71 nt
Filed under: Anolis evermanni
Lineage: Eukaryota; Metazoa; Chordata; Lepidosauria; Squamata; Anolidae
Description: tRNA-Tyr
Rfam family: tRNA
About the family: Transfer RNA (tRNA) molecules are approximately 80 nucleotides in length. Their secondary structure includes four short double-helical elements and three loops (D, anti-codon, and T loops). Further hydrogen bonds mediate the characteristic L-shaped molecular structure. tRNAs have two regions of fundamental functional importance: the anti-codon, which is responsible for specific mRNA codon recognition, and the 3' end, to which the tRNAs corresponding amino acid is attached (by aminoacyl-tRNA synthetases). tRNAs cope with the degeneracy of the genetic code in two manners: having more than one tRNA (with a specific anti-codon) for a particular amino acid; and 'wobble' base-pairing, i.e. permitting non-standard base-pairing at the 3rd anti-codon position.
Source: RNAcentral